CAUGGCGGCGUGCCUACACUGGCAAGCCAAGCCGAAGCAUCAACAAAGAAGCUUCCGGAUGGAAACGUCACGUGACCGAGCGGCGGAACGGGUGAAGUAACGCGUGGGUAACCUGCCUCAUACAGGGGGAUAACAGUCAGAAAUGACUGCUAAUACCGCAUAAGCGCACAGUACCGCAUGGUAGUGUGUGAAAAACUCCGGUGGUAUAAGAUGGACCCGCGUCUGAUUAUCCAGUUGGCGGGGUAACGGCCCACCAAAGCGACGAUCAGUAACCGACCUGAGAGGGUGACCGGCCACAUUGGGACUGAAACACGGCCCAAACUCCUACGGGAGGCAGCAGUGGGGAAUAUUGCACAAUGGGGGAAACCCUGAUGCAGCAACGCCGCGUGAGUGAAGAAGUAUUUCGGUAUGUAAAGCUCUAUCAGCAGGGAAGAAGAUGACGGUACCUGAUUAAGAAGCCCCGGCUAACUACGUGCCAGCAGCCGCGGUAAUACGUAUGGGGCAAGCGUUAUCCGGAUUUACUGGGUGUAAAGGGAGCGCAGACGGCAGUGCAAGUCUGGAGUGAAAGCCCGGGGCCCAACCCCGGAACUGCUCUGGAAACUGUGCGGCUAGAGUACUGGAGGGGCAAGCGGAAUUCCUAGUGUAACGGUGAAAUGCGUAUAUAUUAGGAGGAACACCAGUGGCGAAGGCGGCCUGCUGG
RNAcentral lists this ribosomal RNA (700 nucleotides) under uncultured bacterium. RNAcentral describes it as "bacterial SSU rRNA". It matches the Rfam family "Bacterial small subunit ribosomal RNA", at positions 36 to 732 of the family's 1533-position model. The record is from RNAcentral.